UUCCUGAUGGUCCAGAGUCUAAGACUCUGCACUCCCAAUGCAGGAGGCUCAGGUUUGAUCCCUGGUUAGGGAA
Molecule: transfer RNA, 73 nt
Filed under: Bos taurus (domestic cattle)
Lineage: Eukaryota; Metazoa; Chordata; Mammalia; Artiodactyla; Bovidae
Also listed under: 2 other names
Rfam family: tRNA
About the family: Transfer RNA (tRNA) molecules are approximately 80 nucleotides in length.
Source: Rfam by way of RNAcentral